RNAcentral lists this long non-coding RNA (314 nucleotides) under Homo sapiens (human). RNAcentral's name for it is "HSALNT0070167". The record is from RNAcentral. Lineage: Eukaryota; Metazoa; Chordata; Mammalia; Primates; Hominidae.
CCUUCCCCCUCCUUUUCUUUUAUUUUCGAGAGAAUUUCUUCUUGGCUUAUUGGUUUAAUUUGAUUUUUAAAAUUUUGGGUUGCUUUUGUGUAUGUGUGCUUUUUUUUUCUUUCCUCAUUUUAUUUGCAUCCAGAGCAUGGCGGGCUGCGGGCUGUCGGAAGACACCCUCUUCUCUUCCUUCUUUUACAACUACGGCUCCUCCUGGGAAACCCCUUCCAACCAGUCUCCAGGUUCUGUCGCGUUCCUCCCGUGCCCAAUCUGCCAUCGACACCUUCCCCCACCACCUCCCAGCCCAGCGGGAACCCGAGAAAGAG